Molecule: unclassified non-coding RNA, 275 nt
Filed under: Hevea brasiliensis (rubber tree)
Lineage: Eukaryota; Viridiplantae; Streptophyta; Magnoliopsida; Malpighiales; Euphorbiaceae
Source: RNAcentral
GUACCAGGAUCUGGUGGCAAAACUUGCUCACAGAUUUUUGAAGCAGCUGGUUGUGACACGCCUGCGAGUCCCAGUUGUGGUGCUUGUUUGGGAGGCCCUAAAGACACUUAUGCAAGAAUGAAUGAACCAAUGGUCUGUGUGUCAACGACAAACAGAAACUUCCCAGGGCGGAUGGGACACAAAGAAGGCCAGAUAUAUCUUGCUUCCCCCUAUACAGCAGCAGCAUCUGCUUUGACCGGUUAUGUCACUGAUCCAAGGGAGUUCUUGCAGUAGGC